Long non-coding RNA from Chinchilla lanigera (long-tailed chinchilla), 1236 nucleotides. RefSeq lists it as uncharacterized. The record is from RefSeq and is a predicted model, not a curated record. Lineage: Eukaryota; Metazoa; Chordata; Mammalia; Rodentia; Chinchillidae. The transcript is spliced from 3 exons.
ACAUGUUGGUGCACUAGGUCCUUCCACUGUCUUUGGAUCUUGCCUUUUUGUUUCAUCAGAUUCUCUUUCUUUUAAAAGAAGUUCUGUGGCUGUCUUAUAAAGACCGAUAGAUGUGCUUCUUGAAGAAUACGAUCGAUCCCCUUUUCAAAUCAUAAUGAGCUGCAACAGCAAGACUUUCUCAUCUCCACCUCCAGGUGAACACUGAAAUGACUGCACUCACAAACACAUCAGCCUUCCUGGGACUAGGGAAGAGCUGUUUUGUGGUCUUCUUUGCAGUCUCUUCAGUUUACCUUAAACUUUAAGCACGUGGCCACCUGGAACCCAAAGAAAAAACAUUGCUAAAUUGGCAGAGAAGAGUGCACUUGUUCAUCAGCCUGCGGACCAGCUGACUUAAUAUGAGGAUUUUGUCACAUAAACUCUACAAAGAAAACUUCAUCAAAACAUCUAAACUCCUUCAUUUGCGUCUUUACACCUCAUAUGAAUCACACUGAUGCCAAUUUUCCUGUUGUUUUCUUCUUAUUAUUCAUUCAAAUGUACUUCGAUAAGCCCUGAUUCUAUGCCUUGGCCAUGUUAUUACUACCUGUGAAAGGUCAAUUCUACUUCCAGUCUGCUGGUGGGAGCAUCCUGUCCCAUGUCUUUAAGAUUUAUCUCAUAUCUUACUUAUGAAGUUUCUUCAGGGUAAGUGUUUCCUCUGAACUAUAUAGUUCACGUCAAAGUCACUAUUUUGAAAUUCUGCGUUAAUCCAUUUAUCAGUUUUCAGGACACGAGGUAAAGUAGGCAUAGGUCUUUCAAGGAACUUAUAAUCAAGUAGAGGUGAUGCCUAUAUUUCAGAAAAUAUGUAGCAAAGUAAAAAAUCCUGUGAGGAAGCGGGGAUAAGGUCACAGGAAUGAGAGAUGACAUGUAAUAUAAAGCCCUUAUGGCAGUACUUGGUACAUGCCAGCCAGGUAUCCAAUAACUAUUAGUGUCUCUUUGUAUGGCUGAGAAAAGGGAUGGGGGAUCUGAGAAGUCCUUAUAGAAGAAGUGACCUUUAGUUUUAAUCACAUAGGUAAACUAUGGAUGAGUAAAAAGCAGGUUAAGAAGAAUAUUUUAGGCCAAGGAGUUUAAUCUAUACCAGCGAGUCACAAACUUGGACACUACAUUACUAAAAGCCCACCAUUUUCAGUUAAUGUAGAUUGUAUCUAUUGAUACAGUAUAUUAAUAUAACAUAGAAAUUUAGAAAACUGAGGAUUUCUUUUU